RNAcentral lists this ribosomal RNA (3087 nucleotides) under Crassaminicella thermophila. RNAcentral describes it as "Crassaminicella sp. SY095 23S ribosomal RNA". It matches the Rfam family "Bacterial large subunit ribosomal RNA". The record is from RNAcentral. Lineage: Bacteria; Bacillati; Bacillota; Clostridia; Eubacteriales; Clostridiaceae.
UUUCUGGUCAAGUUAUAAAGAGCAUAGGGUGAAUGCCUUGGCACCAGGAGCCGAAGAAGGACGUGGUAAGCUGCGAUAAGCCUCGGGGAACUGCAAGCAAGUUUUGAUCCGGGGAUUUCCGAAUGGGGAAACCCACCUAGGGUAAUACUUAGGUACCCACUACUGAAUCCAUAGGUAGUGAGGAGGCAUACCAGGGGAACUGAAACAUCUAAGUACCCUGAGGAAAAAGAAAGAAAAACUCGAUUCCCUAAGUAGCGGCGAGCGAAAGGGGAUUAGCCCAAACCCUAGAAAAAAUUUUUUUUUCUAGGGGGUUGCGGAUAUACUCAUAAGAGCGAAGAAUUUGUAGCCGAAGAGGUCUGGAAAGGCCCACCAUAGGAGGUAAUAGUCCUGUAGGCGAAACAAAGUUUAGCUUGAGUAUACUCCAGAGUACCACGAGACACGUGAAACCUUGUGGGGAAGCAGGGGGACCACCCCCAAGGCUAAAUACUACCUGGUGACCGAUAGCGCAUAGUACCGUGAGGGAAAAGGUGAAAAGAACCCCGGGAGGGGAGUGAAAUAGAACCUGAAACCCUAUGUUUACAAGCAGUGGAAGUUCUUUAUAUGAACGACCGCGUACUUUUUGUAGAACGGGCCAACGAGUUACGGUAUGCAGCAAGGUUAAGUAGUUAAGCUACGGAGCCGCAGCGAAAGCGAGUCUGAAUAGGGCGAUUUAGUUGUAUGCCGUAGACCCGAAACCGGGUGACCUAUCCAUGAGCAGGUUGAAGCGGAAGUAAAAAUUUCGUGGAGGACCGAACCCAUGUCUGUUGAAAAAAAGGCUGGGAUGACUUGUGGAUAGCGGAGAAAUUCCAAUCGAACUCGGAGAUAGCUGGUUCUCCCCGAAAUAGCUUUAGGGCUAGCCUCAAAGUUAGUGAUACGGAGGUAGAGCACUGAAUGUCCUAGGGGCCCUCACCGGUUACCGAAGACUAUCAAACUCCGAAUGCCGUAAUCAUAUCUUUGGGAGUCAGACUAUGUGUGAUAAGAUUCAUAGUCGAGAGGGAAACAGCCCAGACCGUCAGCUAAGGUCCCUAAGUACAGGUUAAGUGGAAAAAGGAUGUGGGAUUGCAUAGACAACUAGGAUGUUGGCUUAGAAGCAGCCACUCAUUUAAAAGAGUGCGUAAUAGCUCACUAGUCGAGUGAUCCUGCGCCGAAAAUUACCGGGGCUCAAACCUGUCACCGAAGCUACGGCUUGUCGUAGUAUGAAUACUGAUUUUAGAAAAGAGCAAAGGAAGAAGGUAAGUUUUGCCGAAGGUAUCCUACGGAUACAAGCAAAGGCCUUCGGCCAAAUAACCAAAAAGCUCAAACAAAGCUCUAAGGUUAGUAUUCAUAUUACGACAGGGGUAGGGGAGCAUUCUAUACGGGCUGAAGUCAUACCGAAAGGAAUGGUGGACUGUAUAGAAGAGAGAAUGUUGGCAUGAGUAGCGAGAGGUAGGUGAGAAUCCUACCCGCCGAAAAACCUAAGGUUUCCUGAGGAAGGUUCGUCCGCUCAGGGUUAGUCGGGGACCUAAGCCGAGGACGAAAGUCGUAGGCGAUGGACAACAGGUUGAAAUUCCUGUACCACCGAAAAAUCGUUUGAGCAAUGGGGGUGACACAGGAGGAUAGGCUAAGCGCACCGUUGGUUGUGUGCGUCUAAACCCGUAGGGGAGUCUAUGUAGGCAAAUCCGCGUAGGCAAUCCUGAAAGGUGAUGGGGAGCGAAAUAUAGUAGCGAACUUGCUGAUUCCACACUGUCGAGAAAAGCCUCUAGCGAGAUCUAGGUGCCCGUACCGCAAACCGACACAGGUAGGUGAGGAGAGAAUCCUAAGGCGAGCGAGAGAACUAUUGUUAAGGAACUCGGCAAAAUGACCCCGUAACUUAGGGAGAAGGGGUGCCACGGUAGGGUGUUAAAGCCCGAGGUGGCCGCAGAGAAUAGGCCCAAGCGACUGUUUAGCAAAAACACAGGUCUCUGCUAAGUCGAAAGACGAUGUAUAGGGGCUGACGCCUGCCCGGUGCUGGAAGGUUAAGGGGACGUGUUAACGUAAGUGAAGCACUGAACUUAAGCCCCAGUAAACGGCGGCCGUAACUAUAACGGUCCUAAGGUAGCGAAAUUCCUUGUCGGGUAAGUUCCGACCCGCACGAAAGGCGUAACGAUUUGGGCACUGUCUCAACAAUAGACUCGGUGAAAUUGUAGUACCGGUGAAGAUGCCGGUUACCCGCAGCAGGACGGAAAGACCCCGUGGAGCUUUACUGUAGCCUGACACUGGAUUUUGGUAUUACAUGUACAGCAUAGGUGGGAGACUUAGAAGCAUGUACGCCAGUAUGUGUGGAGUCGCCGUUGGGAUACCACUCUUGUAAUACUGAAGUUCUAACCAGAAGCUGUGAAUCCAGCUUUGGGACACUGUCAGGUGGGCAGUUUGACUGGGGCGGUCGCCUCCUAAAAGGUAACGGAGGCGCCCAAAGGUUCCCUCAGCGCGGUCGGAAAUCGCGCGUAGAGUGUAAAAGGCAGAAGGGAGCUUGAUUGCGAGACUUACAAGUCGAGCAAGGACGAAAAGUCGGGCUUAGUGAUCCGGUGGUUCCGAGUGGAAGGGCCAUCGCUCAACGGAUAAAAGCUACCCCGGGGAUAACAGGCUUAUCUCCCCCAAGAGUCCACAUCGACGGGGAGGUUUGGCACCUCGAUGUCGGCUCGUCUCAUCCUGGGGCUGAAGUAGGUCCCAAGGGUUGGGCUGUUCGCCCAUUAAAGAGGCACGCGAGCUGGGUUCAGAACGUCGUGAGACAGUUCGGUCCCUAUCCGCUGUGGGCGCAGGAAAUUUGAGAGGAGCUGUCCUUAGUACGAGAGGACCGGGAUGGACGUACCUCUGGUGUAUCAGUUGUCGCGCCAGCGGCAUGGCUGAGUAGCUAUGUACGGACGGGAUAAGCGCUGAAGGCAUCUAAGCGCGAAGCCCCCCUCAAGAUUAGAUUUCCCAUGACGUAAGUCAGUAAGACCCCAGAAAGACCAUCUGGUUGAUAGGCCUAAGGUGUAAGGGCAGUAAUGUCUUAAGCUGAUAGGUACUAAUAGGUCGAGGACUUGACCAAAU